RNAcentral lists this unclassified non-coding RNA (309 nucleotides) under plant metagenome. RNAcentral's name for it is "partial contains 5.8S ribosomal RNA, internal transcribed spacer 2, and large subunit ribosomal RNA". The stretch from base 1 to 105 matches the Rfam family "5.8S ribosomal RNA", at positions 50 to 154 of the family's 154-position model. The record is from RNAcentral.
GAAAUGCGAUAAGUAAUGUGAAUUGCAGAAUUCGGUGAAUCAUCGAAUCUUUGAACGCACAUUGCGCCCCUUGGUAUUCCAUGGGGCAUGCCUGUUCGAGCGUCAUUUGUACCCUCAAGCUCUGCUUGGUGUUGGGUGUUUGUCCCGUCUCCGCGCGUGGACUCGCCCCAAAGUGAUUGGCAGCCGGCGUACUGGUCCCGGAGCGCAGCACAUGUCGCGCAAACGAGUGCCUUGGUACGGCGGCGUCCAUAAGCCCCUCUCUCACGCUCUUGACCUCGGAUCAGGUAGGGAUACCCGCUGAACUUAAGC